RNAcentral lists this ribosomal RNA (378 nucleotides) under uncultured bacterium. RNAcentral's name for it is "bacterial SSU rRNA". It matches the Rfam family "Bacterial small subunit ribosomal RNA", at positions 30 to 407 of the family's 1533-position model. The record is from RNAcentral.
AUUGAACGCUGGCGGCAUGCCUUACACAUGCAAGUCGAACGGCAGCGGACCUUCGGGUGCCGGCGAGUGGCGAACGGGUGAGUAAUAUAUCGGAACGUACCUUUCAGUGGGGGAUAACGUAGCGAAAGUUACGCUAAUACCGCAUAUUCUGUGAGCAGGAAAGCAGGGGACCUUCGGGCCUUGCGCUAUGAGAUGAGCUUGCGUCCGAUUAGCUAGUUGGUGGGGUAAAGGACCUACCAAGGCGACGAUCGGUAACUGGUCUGAGAGGAUGAUCAGUCACACUGGAACUGAGACACGGUCCAGACUCCUACGGGAGGCAGCAGUGGGGAAUAUUGGACAAUGGGGGCGAACCCUCGAUCCAGCCAUGCCGCGUGUGUG